RNAcentral lists this ribosomal RNA (617 nucleotides) under uncultured bacterium. Its description in RNAcentral is "bacterial SSU rRNA". It matches the Rfam family "Bacterial small subunit ribosomal RNA", at positions 28 to 657 of the family's 1533-position model. The record is from RNAcentral.
GACGAACGCUGGCGGCGUGCUUAACACAUGCAAGUCGAACGAUGAAGCCCAGCUUGCUGGGUGGAAGAGUGGCGAACGGGUGAGUAACACGUGAGUAACCUGCCCUGAACUCUGGGAUAAGCACUGGAAACGGUGUCUAAUACUGGAUACGACCUAUCACCGCAUGGUGUGUGGGUGGAAAGAUUUAUCGGUUUUGGAUGGACUCGCGGCCUAUCAGCUAGAUGGUGAGGUAAUGGCUCACCAUGGCGACGACGGGUAGCCGGCCUGAGAGGGUGACCGGCCACACUGGGACUGAGACACGGCCCAGACUCCUACGGGAGGCAGCAGUGGGGAAUAUUGCACAAUGGGCGCAAGCCUGAUGCAGCAACGCCGCGUGAGGGAUGACGGCCUUCGGGUUGUAAACCUCUUUUAGUAGGGAAGAAGCGAAAGUGACGGUACCUGCAGAAAAAGCACCGGCUAACUACGUGCCAGCAGCCGCGGUAAUACGUAGGGUGCAAGCGUUGUCCGGAAUUAUUGGGCGUAAAGAGCUCGUAGGCGGCUUGUCGCGUCUGCUGUGAAAUCCCGGGGCUCAACCCCGGGUCUGCAGUGGGUACGGGCAAGCUAGAGUGCGGUAGGGA